GAGCUGGCCCUGAAAAGCAACCUGACCCAGGAAAGGGGGCUCUGCGCUUUUCUUAUCUAAGCAUCCUCAAUCGAAACCUCAUUCUUUCUUUCCGUUAUCUUGGCCUCCCAUUUAAUGCUGUGAGACUGAUUCGGUGCUCCCUCAGGAAUGUGCAAGAGAAGAUCCUGUGCCCAGCCAACAAACACCAGCGUUGCUUGAUGUUUUGAAGUUUAAUAGCCCAUGGAGCAUAUGUGAGAGACCGGAAUCGAUCUAUAAGGCUCACGCUGGUCUUGAACUCCUGUGCUCAAAACAUUCUACUUCAGCCUCCCAAGUUGCUGGGAUUAUAGGCUCAAGGUACCUGUGUUCAGCCCAACUCUUUUUUGACUAGCACGUGGGGCAUAUAUAAGAACACUUCUCACUUGGUAAAUAAAAGCUAGUACUUAAGAAGAACAUAACUGCCCCUACUCCAGGACUGUUCAGUGAAAUCUUUAUUGCUAUUUUUAAUGGACUUAAAAAAAAUAGUGAUGCACUAUUUUGCAAAACACCAUUUUAGUUGAUCUGACAACUUAAGCACAUUGAGAGUAGAUACCAAUUGUAACUUAAAAUGACUGCUAAGACAAAUCGACCCCAGGAAAUUGGGUCUAUAACAAAAACAUGUAUAAACCCUCAGCAGUAGCAGUAUUUUUCUAGUACCAGCGGGAGAAGUAAUGAAGUCUUGUUGACAUUAAGCUGGAGCAAUGCUUUUAAGUGAAGGUCUGCCUAAUUCUCGGAUAGAAUAAUCCAUAACUCAGCUCUCUGGGGGAAGCUCCUGUAUUAUCUCAUUUCUAUAUUCAGCAGUCAUAAAAGAUGUCAUUCAGAUGACCUGAGGUGUGCAAUUUCAUACAAUGAAAAGAAAAAGUUACUUCCUUGCCUGCACGUGGGCCGUCUUCCUGGCCAAGUAGAAGUGGCCGAGCCUUUCCAUCGCAGUUAGUUACUUUGCUGGGCUUCACUAUGUUACCAGAUCUUGAAAAACAUAGAUCUUUAGGUUAAACGAAAACCUCAAAGCUGAUGUCAUUAAUUCUGUCUUUUAUUAAAUAAUUCUGGAAAUGACUUGUGUCAGUAUCAUUCUGAGGUCCCAUUCCCUGGAGACUGCUCUGGUCUCUCACCGAGCGUUCUGUUCAUCUAGUACCAAGUAGCAAACCAGAUUGAUAUUUUCAAUGUCAAUUCUAUUAUCAAUCAAUCAUUUCAUAUCCCUAGAAAAUCCAUACGCAAUUAAUCUUAUUUUCUUGUUCUGCCAAUUAACUGAAGUUAAAGUUUAACUUCCUUUCCUUUAAGCCCAAAAUAAAGCGUUUUGUUCUAAUGGAUUCCCUGAAAUUCUGUAUAUAUUUAAAGAAUAGUUUCUCCUCUCUUGGAGUGCCUCUCCUGAUGAAUAUACAUAUGAAGAAAAUAAAUUAAUGAGAAGUAGCAUAGUUUUGAGAAGAU
This 1440-nucleotide long non-coding RNA is filed under the name Papio anubis (olive baboon). Its description in RNAcentral is "lncRNA (ENSPANG00000044083.1)". The record is from RNAcentral. Lineage: Eukaryota; Metazoa; Chordata; Mammalia; Primates; Cercopithecidae.